This 73-nucleotide transfer RNA is filed under the name Felis catus (domestic cat). It matches the Rfam family "tRNA". From Rfam's summary of the family: Transfer RNA (tRNA) molecules are approximately 80 nucleotides in length. Their secondary structure includes four short double-helical elements and three loops (D, anti-codon, and T loops). Further hydrogen bonds mediate the characteristic L-shaped molecular structure. tRNAs have two regions of fundamental functional importance: the anti-codon, which is responsible for specific mRNA codon recognition, and the 3' end, to which the tRNAs corresponding amino acid is attached (by aminoacyl-tRNA synthetases). tRNAs cope with the degeneracy of the genetic code in two manners: having more than one tRNA (with a specific anti-codon) for a particular amino acid; and 'wobble' base-pairing, i.e. permitting non-standard base-pairing at the 3rd anti-codon position. The record is from Rfam by way of RNAcentral. Lineage: Eukaryota; Metazoa; Chordata; Mammalia; Carnivora; Felidae.
GCCUGGCCGGCUCAGUCGGUAGAGCACGUGACUCUUGAUCUCGGGGUCACAAGUUCGAGCCCCGUGUUGGGUG